Molecule: ribosomal RNA, 398 nt
Filed under: uncultured bacterium
Lineage: Bacteria
Description: partial 16S ribosomal RNA
Rfam family: Bacterial small subunit ribosomal RNA
Source: RNAcentral
AUACGUAGGGUGCGAACGUUGUCCGAAAUUACUGGGCGUAAAGAGCUCGUAGGUGGUUUGUCGCGUCGUCUGUGAAAUUCCGGGGCUUAACUCCGGGCGUGCAGGCGAUACGGGCAUAACUUGAGUACUGUAGGGGAGACUGGAAUUCCUGGUGUAGCGGUGAAAUGCGCAGAUAUCAGGAGGAACACCGGUGGCGAAGGCGGGUCUCUGGGCAGUAACUGACGCUGAGGAGCGAAAGCAUGGGUAGCGAACAGGAUUAGAUACCCUGGUAGUCCAUGCCGUAAACGGUGGGCGCUAGGUGUAGGGGUCUUCCACGACUUCUGUGCCGUAGCUAACGCAUUAAGCGCCCCGCCUGGGGAGUACGGCCGCAAGGCUAAAACUCAAAGGAAUUGACGGGG